GAGACCGUAGCUCAACGGAAGAGCGGCUCUUUGUGAGCAGGCGUGGGAUCAACACCCACCGGUCUCC
Molecule: transfer RNA, 67 nt
Filed under: Pythium insidiosum
Lineage: Eukaryota; Oomycota; Peronosporomycetes; Pythiales; Pythiaceae
Description: tRNA-Gln
Rfam family: tRNA
About the family: Transfer RNA (tRNA) molecules are approximately 80 nucleotides in length. Their secondary structure includes four short double-helical elements and three loops (D, anti-codon, and T loops).
Source: RNAcentral